AGAUGACCGAAAGUAAGUCCAGGUCUUUUAAACCUGUUAUAGUAAACUAACGAUUACUUCUA
RNAcentral lists this transfer RNA (62 nucleotides) under Alpheus distinguendus. RNAcentral's name for it is "tRNA-Lys". The record is from RNAcentral. Lineage: Eukaryota; Metazoa; Arthropoda; Malacostraca; Decapoda; Alpheidae.